This 431-nucleotide ribosomal RNA is filed under the name uncultured bacterium. RNAcentral's name for it is "partial 16S ribosomal RNA". It matches the Rfam family "Bacterial small subunit ribosomal RNA", at positions 29 to 506 of the family's 1533-position model. The record is from RNAcentral.
ACGAACGCUGGCGGCAUGCCUAACACAUGCAAGUCGAACGAUGCCUUCGGGCAUAGUGGCGCACGGGUGCGUAACGCGUGGGAAUCUGCCUUUCGGUUCGGAAUAACUCAGGGAAACUUGAGCUAAUACCGGAUAACGUCGCAAGACCAAAGAUUUAUCACCGAAAGAUGAGCCCGCGUAGGAUUAGCUAGUUGGUGAGGUAAAGGCUCACCAAGGCGACGAUCCUUAGCUGGUCUGAGAGGAUGAUCAGCCACACUGGGACUGAGACACGGCCCAGACUCCUACGGGAGGCAGCAGUGGGGAAUAUUGGACAAUGGGCGAAAGCCUGAUCCAGCAAUGCCGCGUGAGUGAUGAAGGCCUUAGGGUUGUAAAGCUCUUUUACCCGGGAAGAUAAUGACGGUACCGGGAGAAUAAGCCCCGGCUAACUCCGU